AGGAUGAUAGUUUAAAAAAAACACUUAACUUGCACUUAAAAAUUAUUGAAUCAAUUCAUCUUA
This 63-nucleotide transfer RNA is filed under the name Dascillus cervinus (orchid beetle). Its description in RNAcentral is "tRNA-Ala". It matches the Rfam family "tRNA". Rfam says of the family: Transfer RNA (tRNA) molecules are approximately 80 nucleotides in length. Lineage: Eukaryota; Metazoa; Arthropoda; Insecta; Coleoptera; Dascillidae. The record is from RNAcentral.